UAGUAAUUAAAUCUUUAUCUAACUCCUAAAAUUUCUCAAGUCUCGUCUAUUUCCUUUUCUAUUCCCGUAUCUUUAUUUCUGCCUUGGAUACCUAGGGCUUCAUCAAUAGUUCCGCCUCCAUCGUCCAUACACCACUCAAAUCUGUUCACCACUGCAUCUCACGUUGCAGUCACCAUCACUAUCUUCAAUCCUCGUUCGUUUCUUAGCCCUUCUUCUCAUUGACUUCAGUCGACAUCCACUUCAAUCGACAUCUUCAAUCGCUGCUACCUGGUCUUCAAUCGUCACCGCCAAUCGCCGCUUCUUGAUCUUCAAACAAUACUGGAACGCCGCCACCGAUCUUUUGUCACCACCGCUAAUUGCCUCCUUCUGAUCUUCAAUCGAUAUCGAAGCCACUAUCAACCUACAGAUUUACUAGUUAUUUCUUUGUUCAAUUUUUUGAACCUCAGAACUGCAUUAAAUCUCAUGUGUUAGAAGAAGGUGUAGAUGGGUGUUUGGGUGAUGUCGAUGCUUUCUUUUUGUCGCAGGUGCCUGGGGGUGGGAAGAAAAAUAUAAGUAGAUGAUUAUGUGCGUUCGGUUGGGAGUGGUAUUAACCAGGGGCAUUUUUGGUACUUUUCUUUUUCUAAACAUGUUUGGUUCUGGUUUGAUCUUUCUGAUGGCUUUAUUGAUUGGUUGGCUCAGAAUUAUAUGGCGUAAGAGGGAAGAAUUAAUUGUUUAAGGCGAGAUCGAUAUGGGGAUUUUUUGACUGAAGGGUAUUUUGGGAAUAAGGUUAAGAAUUCUAUGGCGGUGGUUGUGGGUUGGUUCUUGUUGACUCAGAUUAGCAGACAUAGAUUCAAGAAGAUGGGUGGGUUCACAAGGAUUAAAGAUUUUUUUAACUGUACAGGGAGGAUAAAGAGCGAGUUUUGGAAUAUAUAAGUUUUUUUGAUGAAUUUUGCGCCUGGUUUGAUAUGCGAGGUGAUAGGAUUGAAGAUUUUCUUAUGUGGCAGGCCUUAAAUGAAGUUCUUUUUUAUUAUUUUGUCAAUUCUUGGAAGCAGGGGCUUUGUAGUCAUUCUACUAUGAAUUUAUUCAUGUGUAUUCAUUUAUGAAUAACGUUGUAGUUAGGUGUGAAUGGUUGUAUUCAUUUAUGAAUAGCACGUGUCUUCAUUUACGAUAGAAUGUGUAUUAAUUUAUAAAUAACAGUGUACUCAUUUGUGAAUAGCAAUGUAUUCGUAUGUGAAUGAUUGUAUUUA
Lactuca sativa (garden lettuce) is the source of this 1226-nucleotide long non-coding RNA. RefSeq lists it as uncharacterized. The record is from RefSeq and is a predicted model, not a curated record. NCBI's taxonomy places the organism in Eukaryota, Viridiplantae, Streptophyta, Magnoliopsida, Asterales, Asteraceae.